Molecule: ribosomal RNA, 979 nt
Filed under: Hypoderaeum sp. Hubei-2014
Lineage: Eukaryota; Metazoa; Platyhelminthes; Trematoda; Plagiorchiida; Echinostomatidae
Description: large subunit ribosomal RNA
Rfam family: Bacterial large subunit ribosomal RNA (bases 627-979)
Source: RNAcentral
AGAUUUAGAGAUUGUAAGCGAACGCGUGUUUGGUUAUUUGAGGUACCUUUUGCAUCAUGAUUUGUUGAUGGUUUAUUCUUUUGGUGUUGACCCGAAAGAUGUCGAUUCCUGUUUUUACUGUUUAGUACUUAGUUUAAGGCGGGUAGCUUAGGUUAGAUAAAGACAGGGUUGUGAAAAAUAAUUCGGGACAUCUAAUAUCUGGUUUAGGGGGUUUGGGUUUUGUUUUAGUUGUUCAGCGAGGAUGUUGAGCAGCGUUUAAUAGAGUGUGUUUAAGUUGGAGUUACGUGUGGGUUAAAGUUACCCCUGCGUAGGGUUUGUGUUAAGACUCGAAUGGCUGAUUAGCUGGAUUCUUUACUCAUCACCUCCCCCUCCCGAACUAGUGAGUAGUAUGAUAAAAUAAGUAGGUUUUGAUUAGUUGCAUUUUUUCUCGAUUUUUUCCGGUCUGUUUAUUAAAAACAUUUCCAUUCUGAGAUUUGGAUGGUAGUGCCUGCCCAAUGCUUGGAGUUAAUGGCCGCAGUAUUUUGACUGUGCUAAGGUAGCAUAAUUAGUUGCCUCAUAAUUGGGGGAUUGUUUGAAAGGUUUGACCAGGGAGAUAGAUUAGAUUGUGGCUUGUCCUGAAAUUAAGUUGUUGGUGCAGACUCCAACGGUAGUAUAUUAGACGGAAAGACCCCGAGAUCUUUAUAUUGUGGUGUUUACUUGGGGCAAGGCUAUGUAGUUUAUGUAGUUUUAGAUCCUAAGGGAUUAAAGGUUUAAGUUACCUCGGGGAUAACUAGGUAAAAAAUGAGGAGAGAUCUUAUCGAUUCGUUUAAUUGCCAUCUCGAUGUUGACUUGGGAAAUGCGAUGGGGUGCAGAAGUUUCAUUGCGUGGUCUGUUCGACCUUUAUUCCCUCAUGAGUUGAGUUAAGACCGGCGUGAGCCAGGUCGGUUCUUAUCUAUAAUUGAUGCGGAUUAGUACGAAAGGAUUGUUUGCAUUUUAUGUU